Cynoglossus semilaevis (tongue sole) is the source of this 358-nucleotide long non-coding RNA. RefSeq lists it as uncharacterized. The record is from RefSeq and is a predicted model, not a curated record. The transcript is spliced from 2 exons. NCBI's taxonomy places the organism in Eukaryota, Metazoa, Chordata, Actinopteri, Pleuronectiformes, Cynoglossidae.
UUAAAAUGUGUCGAUGUAACGAUAUACCAUGUGUGUGUAUAUUUUUGUAGGUUCUUUCAGAUGAAGAGAAAAGAAAACAGUACGACACGUAUGGAGAGGACGGACUUAAAGAAGGACACCACAGCUCACACAAUGACAUCUUUUCUAGUUUUUUUGGAGAUUUUGGUUUUAUGUUUGGAGGAAACCGCCAGCAGCAGGACAGAAACAUUCCCAGAGGAAAUGACAUCAUACUAGACCUGGAGGUCACACUGGAAGAGGUGUAUUCUGGGAACUUUGUAGAGGUAAGCAAACAUUUUGGAAUUCCAGAACGUAAUUUGUCAAUCAUUUGCUUGCUGCAAGUUUACCUAAUUAUGGAUUU